RNAcentral lists this transfer RNA (61 nucleotides) under Tigriopus kingsejongensis. Its description in RNAcentral is "tRNA-Lys". The record is from RNAcentral. Lineage: Eukaryota; Metazoa; Arthropoda; Copepoda; Harpacticoida; Harpacticidae.
GGGCGUGUAAUCUAAAAGAUGAAAGAUUUUUACUUUUUCUAUGGGCAAUCCCCCGCACCCA